RNAcentral lists this ribosomal RNA (794 nucleotides) under uncultured archaeon. Its description in RNAcentral is "bacterial SSU rRNA". It matches the Rfam family "Archaeal small subunit ribosomal RNA", at positions 85 to 877 of the family's 1478-position model. The record is from RNAcentral.
ACGGCUCAGUAACACGUGGAUAACCUGCCCUUGGGUCCGGCAUAACCCCGGGAAACUGGGGAUAAUUCCGGAUAACGCAUAUGUGCUGGAAUGCUUUAUGCGUCAAAUGGAUUCGUCUGCCCAAGGAUGGGUCUGCGGCCUAUCAGGUAGUAGUGGGUGUAAUGUACCUACUAGCCGACAACGGGUACGGGUUGUGAGAGCAAGAGCCCGGAGAUGGAUUCUGAGACAUGAAUCCAGGCCCUACGGGGCGCAGCAGGCGCGAAAACUUUACAAUGCGGGAAACCGUGAUAAGGGGACACCGAGUGUCAGCAUCAUAUGCUGGCUGUCCAGGUGUGUAAAAUACACCUGUUAGCAAGGGCCGGGCAAGACCGGUGCCAGCCGCCGCGGUAACACCGGCGGCCCGAGUGGUGAUCGUGAUUAUUGGGUCUAAAGGGUCCGUAGCCGGUUUGGUCAGUCCUCCGGGAAAUCUGAUAGCUCAACUAUUAGGCUAUCGGGGGAUACUACCAGACUUGGAACCGGGAGAGGUAAGAGGUACUACAGGGGUAGGAGUGAAAUCUUGUAAUCCCUGUGGGACCACCUGUGGCGAAGGCGUCUUACCAGAACGGGUUCGGCGGUGAGGGACGAAAGCUGGGGGCACGAACCGGAUUAGAUACCCGGGUAGUCCCAGCCGUAAACGAUGCUCGCUAGGUGUCAGGCAUGGCGCGACCGUGUCUGGUGCCGCAGGGAAGCCGUGAAGCGAGCCACCUGGGAAGUACGGCCGCAAGGCUGAAACUUAAAGGAAUUGGCGGGGGAGA